UGGGGAAUAUUGCGCAAUGGGCGAAAGCCUGACGCAGCAACGCCGCGUGAGUGAGGAAGGCCUUCGGGUUGUAAAGCUCUGUCUUCCUGGACGAAGGCUUAAGGGUUAAUAGCCCAAAAGAUGACGGUACAGGAAGAGGAAGCCCCGGCUAACUACGUGCCAGCAGCCGCGGUAAAACGUAGGGGGCGAGCGUUGUCCGGAAUUACUGGGCGUAAAGCGCGUGUAGGCGGAAACUUAAGUCAGGUGUGAAAACUCGGGGCUCAACCCCGAGCCGGCAUCUGAAACUGGGUUUCUUGAGGAUGGGAGAGGAAAGUGGAAUUCCUAGUGUAGCGGUGAAAUGCGUAGAUAUUAGGAGGAACACCAGUGGCGAAGGCGGCUUUCUGGACCAUACCUGACGCUGAGACGCGAAAGCGUGGGGAGCAAACAGG
This 428-nucleotide ribosomal RNA is filed under the name uncultured bacterium. RNAcentral's name for it is "bacterial SSU rRNA". It matches the Rfam family "Bacterial small subunit ribosomal RNA", at positions 355 to 776 of the family's 1533-position model. The record is from RNAcentral.